AGUUAAUGAACUUGAAUAAGUAUAUAUUUUGAAAAUAUAAGAUAGAAAUUAUCUUUUCUAUUAACUU
Molecule: transfer RNA, 67 nt
Filed under: Cucujoidea sp. 34 KM-2017
Lineage: Eukaryota; Metazoa; Arthropoda; Insecta; Coleoptera
Description: tRNA-Ser
Source: RNAcentral